ACCAGGAGACCAUAAAUGUUUCUUCUCCAAUUGGAUGAUGAUAAGACUGUGACACGGGAUGCCACCUUUAGUCUUGUGAUGAAGCAAAGCUCAGGAAGAAGUGUGAAUAAAUGGUACCCACAUGUGUGCUGCUGAGAAGGAUGUACAGGGGCACCUGCAGCCAAAUCCAAGCCUCCUCAGCAACUUCAGGUCUGUCAGCGUGCUGAGGUCACAGAAACAAGAAAAGCAGCUUCAGACUUCAGAGUGUUGUUUACAGUUUUCUGUCAUCAUGAUCUCCCCUGAAGUUUAUCACUAUUAUACAAGCAAGCAGAGCGGCAGUUUGUGCUCACAGAUGGUGACGGUGUGGAGAGACAGUGGUGUUUCCUCAGAAGAACUAGCAGAGUCACAAAGGGCACGAGUCCAUCUCACCACCUUGACUUGCUGACUGAUGCUCGUCUGCACUGCACAGAGGAAAUC
This is a long non-coding RNA of Oreochromis aureus, 456 nucleotides long. RefSeq lists it as uncharacterized. The transcript has 3 exons. The record is from RefSeq and is a predicted model, not a curated record. NCBI's taxonomy places the organism in Eukaryota, Metazoa, Chordata, Actinopteri, Cichliformes, Cichlidae.